GUACGUGAAAGUGCUGAAGAAAAAGUUUACCUUGGGAUGGCUAUAAGCAUUAAAAAAAGACUGAAAACAUAC
This is a non-coding RNA of Ailuropoda melanoleuca (giant panda), 72 nucleotides long. The record is from Rfam. Lineage: Eukaryota; Metazoa; Chordata; Mammalia; Carnivora; Ursidae.